UCCCAUGUGGUCUAGUGGUUAGGAUUCCUGGCUUUAACCUACUCGGCCUGGGUUCAAUUCCCGGCAUGGGAA
This 72-nucleotide transfer RNA is filed under the name Trichonephila clavata. It matches the Rfam family "tRNA". Rfam says of the family: Transfer RNA (tRNA) molecules are approximately 80 nucleotides in length. Their secondary structure includes four short double-helical elements and three loops (D, anti-codon, and T loops). Further hydrogen bonds mediate the characteristic L-shaped molecular structure. tRNAs have two regions of fundamental functional importance: the anti-codon, which is responsible for specific mRNA codon recognition, and the 3' end, to which the tRNAs corresponding amino acid is attached (by aminoacyl-tRNA synthetases). tRNAs cope with the degeneracy of the genetic code in two manners: having more than one tRNA (with a specific anti-codon) for a particular amino acid; and 'wobble' base-pairing, i.e. permitting non-standard base-pairing at the 3rd anti-codon position. Lineage: Eukaryota; Metazoa; Arthropoda; Arachnida; Araneae; Nephilidae. The record is from Rfam by way of RNAcentral.